GAAAUGCGAUAAGAAGUGUGAAUUGCAGAAUUCAGUGAAUCAUCGAAUCUUUGAACGCACAUUGCGCCCUUUGGUAUUCCUUAGGGCAUGCCUGUUCGAGCGUCAUCUAAACCUUCAAGCCCUGCUUGGUGUUGGGUGCCUGUCCCGCCUCCGCGCGCGGACUCACCUCAAAUCCAUUGGCGGCCCCCGCGUCGGCCACGAGCGCAGCAGAAACGCGAACUCGUGAGCCCGUCCGGGCGGCUCCCAGAAGCUACACCCACCCAGUUUGACCUCGGAUCAGGUAGGGAUACCCGCUGAACUUAAGC
RNAcentral lists this unclassified non-coding RNA (305 nucleotides) under plant metagenome. RNAcentral describes it as "partial contains 5.8S ribosomal RNA, internal transcribed spacer 2, and large subunit ribosomal RNA". The stretch from base 1 to 105 matches the Rfam family "5.8S ribosomal RNA", at positions 50 to 154 of the family's 154-position model. The record is from RNAcentral.